UGUGACCUCAGUCUUCAGGGUAUGCAGUAAAGGAUUAACUUUGCCCUGGAGAGGUUUGGCCCUUUUGCUCCCAGCUGCAGGGCUGUAAUUUCUAAGCCCUUGGAAUGUUCUGCCUGUAGGAGUGUCUUUGUUUACUGGAGGUCUUGAGCAAUACCAGAUAGUCUGUGCUUACAAUGUAACUUUUGGUGGGGGGGCCUUUGGACAUGUGGUACCACUCAAGCUCCAGAGGGGUUAGAGACUAAGGGUAGUCACAUGGGUGAACAGAAUGUCCGAAUGGCCAACUCCCAGUAAAAACUCUGGACAACAAAGCUUGGAAGGAGAGGAAAAGGCCCAACACCUGCCUGUCAGGGCUCCUGGAUCACGCCCUGCUGCCUGCUGACCUAUAUUGGACUCGAGCCCUUCUUCUGGCAUGCUCACCUGUUAACCCACCUAUCAGCCCACACCUCUGACUGCUGGCUGCUCCCCAUUGAGCCUGAAAUACUGUGCUAUCUGCCUGUACCCUUUUGCAUAAGCUGGGGUUGGGUUAUCUCAGAUUUCUAUUUGGGUCAAGAUUGCCACAUACCUCACCUCUUCUGUUCUGGUCCUCAUCCUGUGUUCCUGGACAAAAAUAACAUUUGAGUAGAAAGCUUUUCUACUUGUUGACAUAGUUGAACAGAUUUUGCUUUAUUGAGAUGAAAUGGAGCCUAAAUUUAUCUGGAAAUGUGUGGAAUCAGUAGAGAGAAGUAAACACAACUCGAAGAAAGCGGGAAACCCCUGUGUACAAUUCAGCUUUUUCACUCCCAGGGAGUUGGGCAUGAUUGUAAAGAAUGAUGUUUUCAAGCCUGCCAAUAACAGAACACGUCUGUAUCCAUUGUGGAUGGGCUUCUUUGAGAAAGCUUCCUUUUCGCCCAAGUAGAGGAGCUCUUCACUGCCCUAAGAUUCUGCUUUCCUACUCCCAUGUCAGAGCAGGAAAAGGUGAAUAUUUUUCACACAGAAUAGCCUCAUCCAUUCCCACGGGGAGUGAGAUAGUUCCUGUAGGGUGCUAGUGAUGGCAUAAAAUUACAGCUCACUAGAGAAACAGUUGCGAGUAAAGAAAUAUAUACAUUUCCUCUAUUUGUGUUCCCUGUCUGUGUUGUCUAAGUUGCAAACAACAGACUCCACUUCAGCUAGGUUAAAGGGAAAAGAGGUUUAAUAAAGAAAAUUAAAUAGCUUAUAGCAUCACUGGGGAACUAGAGAAACAGAUUUAAGGCUAAGCUUCCAGAAACAUAUCCCAAAACAUGCCCCCAAACCGUGACACUGACAUGAAGAGACAGUUGUCAUUGCUGCUUUAUUGAACAGAGGACUGAGAAUUUUUCUACAGUCACUGCUGUUCUCUGCACUGAUGGAAGCCAAGCCUGCCUGGAGAACUCAACUUUGCAACCCAAAGCUGGUGGCUAAUGUGGCUACCCCUACCAACAAAAUGGAAACUCCACCAGGUGUCUGAAUCCAGCUCUCACGACCAUUUAGUGGAGCAGGAAGAAACUGCAGGCCUUUUGGAGGUAUUUCCUUGUGAUUCUGGUCCAAUCCACCACCACCGUCUCACGCUUAGAACCCUGCAAUCCUUCAGAAUUCUCAUUUUAGGCCUAUUAUUUGCAGAACAGGAUGACAUUUACCUGAAUUGGAAAGAUGAACGGGAGACAUAAUUUUACCUCUGGAGCCCAUUUGGGAGAAGAGAGAUAGGUUACAAAGACCAACAUUGCAAGUGGUGGAGAAAACACUGACUUGAGUGUUGCUCAAAUCUUCACUGAGGAAUUGUUCUCUGAGCUCAGCCUGGCCUUAGAAAAUAACAGAGUUCUUCAAAGUAACUAAGAGGGGGAGAAGGAAUUUUUGAGCUGAAGGAAGCAUGUGAGUAACUAAUUAUCUAAUAAAUUAUAUGAGUGCUUGAAAAAGAAGCAACAGCACACCCUUAUUCAUCUGGCGUGGCUAGAGUGUGAGCCUUAGGGAAGGGCAGAAGUACAGAAUGCGUUUGAAUAGGUAGGCUGGGGUUAUAUCGCAAGACCCCUUG
This 2023-nucleotide long non-coding RNA is filed under the name Homo sapiens (human). Its description in RNAcentral is "HSALNT0225300". The record is from RNAcentral. Lineage: Eukaryota; Metazoa; Chordata; Mammalia; Primates; Hominidae.